GACGAACGCUGGCGGCGUGCUUAACACAUGCAAGUCAAACGGAAAGGCCCUGCUUUUGUGGGGUGCUCGAGUGGCGAACGGGUGAGUAACACGUGAGUAACCUGCCCUUGACUUUGGGAUAACUUCAGGAAACUGGGGCUAAUACCGGAUAGGAGCUCCUGAUGCAUGGUGGGGGUUGGAAAGUUUCGGCGGUUGGGGAUGGACUCGCGGCUUAUCAGCUUGUUGGUGGGGUAGUGGCUUACCAAGGCUUUGACGGGUAGCCGGCCUGAGAGGGUGACCGGCCACAUUGGGACUGAGAUACGGCCCAGACUCCUACGGGAGGCAGCAGUGGGGAAUAUUGCACAAUGGGCGGAAGCCUGAUGCAGCAACGCCGCGUGCGGGAUGACGGCCUUCGGGUUGUAAACCGCUUUCGCCUGUGACGAAGCGUGAGUGACGGUAAUGGGUAAAGAAGCACCGGCUAACUACGUG
RNAcentral lists this ribosomal RNA (468 nucleotides) under uncultured bacterium. Its description in RNAcentral is "partial 16S ribosomal RNA". It matches the Rfam family "Bacterial small subunit ribosomal RNA", at positions 28 to 507 of the family's 1533-position model. The record is from RNAcentral.